UUGUCUUUUAAUUAAAGACUAGAACAAAAGAUUUAACAUUUAAAUUAAUAUAUUAAAAUUAAUUAAUUAAAUUUAUUUAAAAUGUAAAAAAACAUUUAUAAACUAGGAAGACGAUAAGACCCUAUUAAACUUAACUUUAGUUAAACUGGGGCAGUUAAUCAAUUAUCAUUUUAAUUUAAAUAUAAAAUAAAUAGAUCCUAUAUAAUAGAUCAAAUGAUCAAGUUACUAUAGGGAUAACAGCGUAAUAUUAAUUUAAAGAUCUCAUUAAAAUAAAAGAUUACGACCUCGAUGUUGAAUUAAUAACCUAUAUUAUUGCAAUAAAUAAUUAAAGGAAGUCUGUUCGACUUUAAAAAAAUUACA
RNAcentral lists this ribosomal RNA (360 nucleotides) under Coptoprepes bellavista. RNAcentral's name for it is "partial 16S ribosomal RNA". Lineage: Eukaryota; Metazoa; Arthropoda; Arachnida; Araneae; Anyphaenidae. The record is from RNAcentral.